Molecule: transfer RNA, 72 nt
Filed under: Ochetellus glaber
Lineage: Eukaryota; Metazoa; Arthropoda; Insecta; Hymenoptera; Formicidae
Description: tRNA-Ala
Source: RNAcentral
UGGAUAUUAGUUAAUUCUAUAACAUUUAAAUUGCAUUUAUAAAUAAUAUAAUCACCAUAUAUAUAUAUCUAA